This 271-nucleotide ribosomal RNA is filed under the name uncultured Eubacteriales bacterium. Its description in RNAcentral is "uncultured Clostridiales bacterium partial 16S ribosomal RNA". It matches the Rfam family "Bacterial small subunit ribosomal RNA", at positions 73 to 339 of the family's 1533-position model. Lineage: Bacteria; Bacillati; Bacillota; Clostridia; Eubacteriales. The record is from RNAcentral.
UUCGGAUGGAAUCGAUAAGUUCUAGCGGCGGACGGGUGAGUAACGCGUGAGCAACCUGCCCUCCACAGGGGGAUAACGCACCGAAAGGUGCACUAAUACCGCAUGAGACCACGUUUCUGACAUGGGGAUGAGGUCAAAGGAGCAAUCCGGUGGAAGAUGGGCUCGCGUCUGAUUAGCUAGUUGGUGAGGUAACGGCCCACCAAGGCGACGAUCAGUAGCCGACCUGAGAGGGUGAUCGGCCACAUUGGAACUGAGAGACGGUCCAAACUCC